GACGAACGCUGGCGGCGUGCUUAACACAUGCAAGUCGAACGGAAAGGCCCCAGCUUGCUGGGGUACUCGAGUGGCGAACGGGUGAGUAACACGUGGGUGAUCUGCCCUGCACUCUGGGAUAAGCCUGGGAAACUGGGUCUAAUACCGGAUAGGACCGUGCUUUAGUGUGUGCGGUGGAAAGUUUUUCGGUGCAGGAUGAGCCCGCGGCCUAUCAGCUUGUUGGUGGGGUAAUGGCCUACCAAGGCGGCGACGGGUAGCCGGCCUGAGAGGGUGUACGGCCACAUUGGGACUGAGACACGGCCCAGACUCCUACGGGAGGCAGCAGUGGGGAAUAUUGCACAAUGGGCGCAAGCCUGAUGCAGCGACGCCGCGUGGGGGAUGACGGCCUUCGGGUUGUAAACCCCUUUCGGCAGGGACGAAGCUUUUGUGGCGGUACCUGCAUAAGAAGCACCGGCUAACUACGUG
This 465-nucleotide ribosomal RNA is filed under the name uncultured bacterium. RNAcentral describes it as "partial 16S ribosomal RNA". It matches the Rfam family "Bacterial small subunit ribosomal RNA", at positions 28 to 507 of the family's 1533-position model. The record is from RNAcentral.